GACAGAGGGUGCAAACGUUGUUCGGAAUUACUGGGCGUAAAGCGCGUGUAGGCGGCCAACUAAGUCGGGCGUGAAAUCCCACGGCUCAACCGUGGAAGUGCACUCGAAACUGGAUGGCUAGAGUCCUGGAGAGGAAGGUGGAAUGCUUGGUGUAGAGGUGAAAUUCGUAGAUAUCAAGCGGAACACCGGUGGCGAAGGCGGCCUUCUGGACAGUGACUGACGCUGAGACGCGAAAAGCGUGGGGGAGCAAACAGGG
RNAcentral lists this ribosomal RNA (256 nucleotides) under uncultured bacterium. Its description in RNAcentral is "partial 16S ribosomal RNA". It matches the Rfam family "Bacterial small subunit ribosomal RNA", at positions 524 to 777 of the family's 1533-position model. The record is from RNAcentral.